CGGCAGGCCUAACACAUGCAAGUCGAACGGUAACAGAAAGCAGCUUGCUGCUUUGCUGACGAGUGGCGGACGGGUGAGUAAUGUCUGGGAAACUGCCCGAUGGAGGGGGAUAACUACUGGAAACGGUAGCUAAUACCGCAUAACGUCGCAAGACCAAAGAGGGGGACCUUCGGGCCUCUUGCCAUCGGAUGUGCCCAGAUGGGAUUAGCUAGUAGGUGGGGUAACGGCUCACCUAGGCGACGAUCCCUAGCUGGUCUGAGAGGAUGACCAGCCACACUGGAACUGAGACACGGUCCAGACUCCUACGGGAGGCAGCAGUGGGGAAUAUUGCACAAUGGGCGCAAGCCUGAUGCAGCCAUGCCGCGUGUAUGAAGAAGGCCUUCGGGUUGUAAAGUACUUUCAGCGGGGAGGAAGGGAGUAAAGUUAAUACCUUUGCUCAUUGACGUUACCCGCAGAAGAAGCACCGGCUAACUCCGUGCCAGCAGCCGCGGUAAUACGGAGGGUGCAAGCGUUAAUCGGAAUUACUGGGCGUAAAGCGCACGCAGGCGGUUUGUUAAGUCAGAUGUGAAAUCCCCGGGCUCAACCUGGGAACUGCAUCUGAUACUGGCAAGCUUGAGUCUCGUAGAGGGGGGUAGAAUUCCAGGUGUAGCGGUGAAAUGCGUAGAGAUCUGGAGGAAUACCGGUGGCGAAGGCGGCCCCCUGGACGAAGACUGACGCUCAGGUGCGAAAGCGUGGGGAGCAAACAGGAUUAGAUACCCCUGGUAGUCCACGCCGUAAACGAUGUCGACUUGGAGGUUGUGCCCUUGAGGCGUGGCUUCCGGAGCUAACGCGUUAAGUCGACCGCCUGGGGAGUACGGCCGCAAGGUUAAAACUCAAAUGAAUUGACGGGGGCCCGCACAAGCGGUGGAGCAUGUGGUUUAAUUCGAUGCAACGCGAAGAACCUUACCUGGUCUUGACAUCCACGGAAGUUUUCAGAGAUGAGAAUGUGCCUUCGGGAACCGUGAGACAGGUGCUGCAUGGCUGUCGUCAGCUCGUGUUGUGAAAUGUUGGGUUAAGUCCCGCAACGAGCGCAACCCUUAUCCUUUGUUGCCAGCGGUCCGGCCGGGAACUCAAAGGAGACUGCCAGUGAUAAACUGGAGGAAGGUGGGGAUGACGUCAAGUCAUCAUGGCCCUUACGACCAGGGCUACACACGUGCUACAAUGGCGCAUACAAAGAGAAGCGACCUCGCGAGAGCAAGCGGACCUCAUAAAGUGCGUCGUAGUCCGGAUUGGAGUCUGCAACUCGACUCCAUGAAGUCGGAAUCGCUAGUAAUCGUGGAUCAGAAUGCCACGGUGAAUACGUUCCCGGGCCUUGUACACACCGCCCGUCACACCAUGGGAGUGGGUUGCAAAAGAAGUAGGUAGCUUAACCUUCGGGAGGGCGCUUACCACUUUGUGAUUCAUGACUGGGGU
RNAcentral lists this ribosomal RNA (1452 nucleotides) under uncultured organism. RNAcentral's name for it is "16S ribosomal RNA". It matches the Rfam family "Bacterial small subunit ribosomal RNA". The record is from RNAcentral.